UACGUAGGUGGCGAGCGUUGUUCGGAUUUAUUGGGCGUAAAGGGUCUGUAGGAGGUUUGUUAAAUGUGGGGUGAAAUCCGGGGGCUCAACUCCCGAAUUGCCCUGUAGACUGACAGACUAGGGUAUUGGAGAGGUAAGCGGAAUACCAAGUGUAGCGGUGGAAUGCGUAGAUAUUUGGUAGAACACCAAGAGCGAAGGCAGCUUACUGGACAUUGACCGACUCUGAGAGACGAAAGCGUGGGGAGCAAAC
RNAcentral lists this ribosomal RNA (250 nucleotides) under uncultured prokaryote. RNAcentral's name for it is "partial 16S ribosomal RNA". It matches the Rfam family "Bacterial small subunit ribosomal RNA", at positions 524 to 773 of the family's 1533-position model. The record is from RNAcentral.